RNAcentral lists this ribosomal RNA (547 nucleotides) under uncultured bacterium. RNAcentral describes it as "partial 16S ribosomal RNA". It matches the Rfam family "Bacterial small subunit ribosomal RNA", at positions 355 to 913 of the family's 1533-position model. The record is from RNAcentral.
UGGGGAAUAUUGCACAAUGGGCGAAAGCCUGAUGCAGCAACGCCGCGUGAGUGAUGAAGGUCUUCGGAUUGUAAAGCUCUGUCUUUUGGGACGAUAAUGACGGUACCAAAGGAGGAAGCCACGGCUAACUACGUGCCAGCAGCCGCGGUAAUACGUAGGUGGCGAGCGUUGUCCGGAUUUACUGGGCGUAAAGGGUGCGUAGGCGGAUGUUUAAGUGAGAUGUGAAAUACCCGGGCUUAACUUGGGUGCUGCAUUUCAAACUGGAUAUCUAGAGUGCAGGAGAGGAGAAUGGAAUUCCUAGUGUAGCGGUGAAAUGCGUAGAGAUUAGGAAGAACACCAGUGGCGAAGGCGAUUCUCUGGACUGUAACUGACGCUGAGGCACGAAAGCGUGGGUAGCAAACAGGAUUAGAUACCCUGGUAGUCCACGCCGUAAACGAUGAGUACUAGGUGUAGGAGGUAUCGACCCCUUCUGUGCCGCAGUAAGCACAUUAAGUACUCCGCCUGGGCAAGUACGAUCGCAAGAUUAAAAACUCUAAAAGUGAAUUGA